RNA transcript from Onychostoma macrolepis, 1011 nucleotides. RefSeq lists it as uncharacterized. The record is from RefSeq and is a predicted model, not a curated record. Lineage: Eukaryota; Metazoa; Chordata; Actinopteri; Cypriniformes; Cyprinidae. The transcript is spliced from 4 exons.
UUCAAGCCUCGUCAACUGGUGAGUUUUGCGUUUAUCUCCAACUGUGAACAAUAGACCUCAGAUUGGUUAUGUCCAUAGUAAUAAUGUCGAUAAUAAUAUAAUCGUUCUUACUACGUGAUGUUCUCGGUGUAAAAACAAAGAUAAGUGAUUUCAUUGUAAACACAAAAGUGCAUUUAACAAAGUUUUAAAAUACUUGUUGUUUUGCCAUCCGAACUCGUCCUACAAAAUGGCUGUUAAAAACCACUGUUGCGAGUUAUCUGAGCGACUUUUACCGCUUGAACGAGCAUUUUAAUAUCUUUUACUUUUUUUUUUUUUUUAAACACAAGUUUGCAAAAUUCACGAAUCUGCGGCCGAUUGGACACUGCUGUUACACGCAAAAAGUCACCAGUUAACGUGAAAACCAGAAAACCCGCCAAGUCACGCAGGAUUCGUCGCUUCAGUGUGGUUCUGUGGAAUCUUUCAUCAUCUUCAUUGCUUCUGUGGUUGCUGCAGGUUUUUUUUAUCAGCUAUUAUCUGCAGAUAAUCUUGCAGCUCACGGACUGGCAGGCUUUGUACAGUCAUUUCGUUCUGAGUAUGUGUGCAGAUUCUGUCUGGCAACUCAAGACCAGUUUAAAUCGCAGGAAGUUGCUGAGGGUGAAUUCAGUCUGAGAACUAAGCAUAAAAGGCCAGUUGCUGUUGACACCAAAGCGAUUUCUACCAUUACAAUAAGAUGGCGGAAUCCCAGAAACUUGUACUGAGAGUUUACAUUGCUCCUGACAUUGCCCACAAGAUGACCCUUUCUACACGCCCAAGUACAGUAGAAGAGUUGAUUACAGUGAUUAAAGAGAAAUUCAGACCUCGUCUUGAUUUUGAUUUCAGCCUCCAAUAUGAAGACCCAGACUUUGGGGGGGAACUCUGCUUUCUAACAGACAUUUCAGAACUGCCGGAGAAAGCUGUAUUGAAAGUACACAGAUCUGAGACUGAAGCCAGCUCAACUGCAACUUCAGACACCGAAAUACUUCCUUAUAACCC